Molecule: ribosomal RNA, 498 nt
Filed under: uncultured bacterium
Lineage: Bacteria
Description: bacterial SSU rRNA
Rfam family: Bacterial small subunit ribosomal RNA
Source: RNAcentral
GGCUAACGCUGGCGGCGUGUCUUAGCCAUGCAAGUCGAGCGGACUUAUGGGGUAACUUAUAAGUCAGCGGCGGACGGCGGAGUAACACGUAGCUAACCUACCCUCUGGACGGGGAUAACCUACCGAAAGGUGGGCUAAUACCCGAUGUAGUCAUCCUGUAUAGGGGUGAUGAAAGGUGGGCUUCUGUUUACAAGCUCAUGCUGGAGGAGGGGGCUGCGGCCUAUCAGGUAGUUGGUAGGGUAAUAGCCUACCAAGCCGAUGACGGGUAGCCGGCCUGAGGGGGUGACCGGCCCGAGGGGCACUGAGAUACGGGUCCCACUCCUACGGGAGGCAGCAGGCUAGAAAUUUGGGCAAUGGGGGAAACCCUGACCCAGUGACGCCGCGUGCAGGAAGGAGCCCUUCGGGGUGUAAACUGCUGUCGUGUAGGGAGAAGGGUACUAAGGUGAACAAUCUUAGUACUUGACGGUACUACAGGAGGAAGCCCAGGCUAACCUCGUG